UACGUAGGGGGCAAGCGUUAUCCGGAUUUACUGGGUGUAAAGGGAGCGCAGACGGCCAAGCAAGUCUGAAGUGAAAUGCAUGGGCUCAACCCAUGAAUUGCUUUGGAAACUGUUAGGCUUGAGUGUCGGAGAGGUAAGCGGAAUUCCUAGUGUAGCGGUGAAAUGCGUAGAUAUUAGGAGGACACCGGAGGCGAAGCGGCUUACUGGACGACAACUGACGUUGAGGCUCGAA
RNAcentral lists this ribosomal RNA (232 nucleotides) under uncultured Clostridiaceae bacterium. RNAcentral describes it as "partial 16S ribosomal RNA". It matches the Rfam family "Bacterial small subunit ribosomal RNA", at positions 524 to 757 of the family's 1533-position model. Lineage: Bacteria; Bacillati; Bacillota; Clostridia; Eubacteriales; Clostridiaceae. The record is from RNAcentral.